This 234-nucleotide unclassified non-coding RNA is filed under the name Chloridium sp. Its description in RNAcentral is "partial contains small subunit ribosomal RNA, internal transcribed spacer 1, and 5.8S ribosomal RNA". The stretch from base 1 to 46 matches the Rfam family "Eukaryotic small subunit ribosomal RNA", at positions 1786 to 1831 of the family's 1831-position model. Lineage: Eukaryota; Fungi; Ascomycota; Sordariomycetes; Chaetosphaeriales; Chaetosphaeriaceae. RNAcentral also lists the same sequence under 1 other name. The record is from RNAcentral.
AAGUCGUAACAAGGUCUCCGUUGGUGAACCAGCGGAGGGAUCAUUACAGGACUCGCAAGACUCCUACAACCCUGUGAACCUACUAUACGAACGUUGCUUCGGCGGGUGCGCCCCGGGGAUUCGUUCCCGCGGCGCGUCAGCCCGCCGGCAGCCUACAAAUUCUGUUUCUUUGCGUUGGCAUCUCGAGAAAAACAAAAUAAGUUAAAACUUUCAACAACGGAUCUCUUGGUUCUG